GCCCGGUUAGCUCAGUUGGUAGAGCACCUCCAUGGUAAGGAGGGGGUCUACGGUUCAAGUCCGUAACCGGGCUCCA
Molecule: transfer RNA, 76 nt
Filed under: Thiobacillus sp.
Lineage: Bacteria; Pseudomonadati; Pseudomonadota; Betaproteobacteria; Nitrosomonadales; Thiobacillaceae
Also listed under: 2 other names
Description: tRNA-Thr
Rfam family: tRNA
About the family: Transfer RNA (tRNA) molecules are approximately 80 nucleotides in length. Their secondary structure includes four short double-helical elements and three loops (D, anti-codon, and T loops).
Source: RNAcentral